RNAcentral lists this ribosomal RNA (350 nucleotides) under Bacillus sp. PBCC 27. RNAcentral describes it as "bacterial SSU rRNA". It matches the Rfam family "Bacterial small subunit ribosomal RNA", at positions 131 to 473 of the family's 1533-position model. Lineage: Bacteria; Bacillati; Bacillota; Bacilli; Caryophanales; Bacillaceae. The record is from RNAcentral.
UGUAAGACUGGGAUAACUCCGGGAAACCGGGGCUAAUACCGGAUGCUUGAUUGAACCGCAUGGUUCAAUCAUAAAAGGUGGCUUUUAGCUACCACUUACAGAUGGACCCGCGGCGCAUUAGCUAGUUGGUGAGGUAACGGCUCACCAAGGCGACGAUGCGUAGCCGACCUGAGAGGGUGAUCGGCCACACUGGGACUGAGACACGGCCCAGACUCCUACGGGAGGCAGCAGUAGGGAAUCUUCCGCAAUGGACGAAAGUCUGACGGAGCAACGCCGCGUGAGUGAUGAAGGUUUUCGGAUCGUAAAACUCUGUUGUUAGGGAAAAACAAGUACCGUUCAAAUAGGGCGGC